GUGGGGAAUAUUGGGCAAUGGGCGCAAGCCUGACCCAGCAACGCCGCGUGAAGGAAGAAGGCUUUCGGGUUGUAAACUUCUUUUACCAGGGACGAAACAAAUGACGGUACCUGGUGAAUAAGCCACGGCUAACUACGUGCCAGCAGCCGCGGUAAUACGUAGGUGGCGAGCGUUAUCCGGACUUAUUGGGUGUAAAGGGCGUGUAGGCGGGACAGCAAGUCAGAUGUGAAAACCAGAGGCUCAACCUCUGGCCUGCAUUUGAAACUGUUGUUCUUGAGUGUCGGAGAGGUAAUCGGAAUUCCGUGUGUAGCGGUGAAAUGCGUAGAUAUACGGAGGAACACCAGUGGCGAAGGCGGAUUACUGGACGAUAACUGACGCUGAGGCGCGAAAGCGUGGGGAGCAAACAGGAUUAGAUACCCCAGUAGUCC
RNAcentral lists this ribosomal RNA (428 nucleotides) under uncultured bacterium. Its description in RNAcentral is "partial 16S ribosomal RNA". It matches the Rfam family "Bacterial small subunit ribosomal RNA", at positions 354 to 796 of the family's 1533-position model. The record is from RNAcentral.